Molecule: long non-coding RNA, 2966 nt
Filed under: Sus scrofa (pig)
Lineage: Eukaryota; Metazoa; Chordata; Mammalia; Artiodactyla; Suidae
Description: lncRNA (ENSSSCG00005024499.1)
Source: RNAcentral
CAUGGGUGCGGCCCUAAAAAGCAAAAAAAAAAAAAAAAAUUUCAUUGGAUAUUGCCAAAGCUUGAUGUAAGGUGGGACAUUUUAUUUCUCUUAUUUGUUCUUUCAUACCAUACCUUAAAUAUCCAGAGUGUCUGUUUAAAAGGCAUUUUCUUUUUCCAAAAGGAAAAUGCUUUCUGAAUUCAUACUGUAACUAAAACUUCUUAGAUUCCUUUGUAUAUCAUGAUGUCAGUAGACGAAAAGCCAGAAAAUUUGUCUUCAAAAUGACAUCAGUGAAUCCAUCCUCUUAAACUUUGGCACUUUUUAUUACUUCUUAGACUAAAGGAGUUAAGGACUUUGCCGUCAAAGGACUUUUUCAGGCCGUAACUGCUUCCCCUUAAAAUAAAGGAUUUGAAUUUGAUGGUGCUGAAUUUAUGAAUGUGAUGGUUUUUGUCUAUAGAAAGUUGUAACACUGGAGCUAUGUUUUCAAGAAGCUUAUGUGUAAAGAGUUAUUUCCUGGCUCUCUUAUUUUCUUUGCAAAGAGCUUAACAGUGAAAGUUUUAUAGGGUAGAUGACUGAAAGUUGAAAGUUAGAAAUAUUGUUUAUAGCUAUGACCCUAAGAACAUCAUUAAAAAAUCAUUUAAUUGUGAUUAUCCCCUUUAAUCAGUAUUUAUGAUACAUAUACUUAAUAGCUUUAAAGAAAUCUGCAAUAUAAUCCUAUUUAUGUGUUACCAACAGUUUUAAAUGAUUGAAGAUUUUUUGAGCUUCUUAAUUUAUCAGAGGAGAAAAAGAACUUUAUGAAAUAUUUCUAUAAUUCUGCCAUUCGGGAAAAUCAAGUAAGAAUUAGCAUAGGCUUUUUAUUUUUAAACAGGAAUUUCAGUCUUGAGUUUCAGAAAUGAAAACAUUAUUCUUGUUUUUAUGAUAGAGGGAUGUUUUAAUUUGUCAUUUAGUACUUAUCUUUUAAUGUUGCUUGUAUAACUUAGAGCUAAUGUAUAUUUGUGAGAAGAGAAAUUAAUGUUGAAAUUAAAUUUGCUCAAUUUAUAAAUCCUAAACAUUUUCAAGUGAAAUAUGUAGGGAGUUUAUUUGGGAUAUUAACACUAGGUAUGGAGUUAGGUAUUUAAUACUUUUGAAAUAGCUGCAUAAGCCUUUUUUGGCAUGGUUGAAUUUCAUAUUUUAAAAAAUGAGAAGUUUUAAUGGCGUUUUAUAUAUUUGAAUGUUUAACUUGUAAUGCCAAGAUUAUUUUUAAAAACUUAAGCAUGUGUUUUGCAGAAUAGGUUUAGAAUAAAGCUUUAAUUCUUGGAUAGUUUUCUCUGCUUUAAAUAUGAUUAUGAUGUUUAAAAAUUAUUUAAUAUGAAAGCCAAAAAGCUAAGUUGCAUUGCUAAGUAAAUCACUUACUGCAGCAUCCAGAAGAGGAACAGGAAUCAUCUUUAUGCUGGGAGAAAUAACUGCAAGAGUCAGUCCAUCUAAGUCUGCAUUUCUUUUUUUCUUUUUUCUUUUUUCUUGUUUUUUUUUUUUUUUUUUUUUCAUCUUUUUGCCAUUUCUUGGGCCUCUCCCGCGGCAUAUGGAGGCUCCCAGGCGAGGGGUCUAAUAGGAGCUGUAGCUGCCGGCCUACACCAGAGCCACAGCAACGCCAGAUCUGAGCCAUGUCUGUAACCUACACCACAGCUCAUGGCAACACCGGAUCCUUAACCCACUAAGCAAGGCCAGGGAUCGGACCCGCAACCUCAUGGUUCCUAGUCGGAUUCGUUAACCACUGAGCCACGACGGGAACUCCUAGGUCUGCAUUUCUUAAAAUUCAUUUUGUCAGCCAGCCCUAAGUAUUUCUGUUCUGCUAUAUGUACUAUGUCAGUUUUUUAAUUUUUAAAUUUUAAAAAAGCUUUCUCCUCAGUUCAUUUACCUUACUUUCAUUUUAGCGUUUGAAAAAAAAUUUCCCAGUCCUAUCAGUUGAAGCUGGGGCAGUGCUGGGCACCGGUAAGGAGAGAUGGCAAACUCAGUGCCUCCUGGGCCCAAGCAAAGGAUUUAGUGACGCUAGGCUUUUUUGCAUAGUAAACAACUUAGAAUAUUCUUCAUUUUUAUUUAAAAAAAAAAUCCAGCAUUUCUUGACCUUCCGGUUUUUAAAGGUAAGCUAGAAUCAGGAUGUUUAUUUAAAACUUUGUUUUUAAAUAUUAACAACUAAUUCAUACAAGAAUUUCAGGCAGAAACCUGAAGACCUGACAUAGGCCACCAUUUCAGAAGCUCCUUUACAGUGGAGAGCCAGGGUGGCAAAUUAUGGCCUGUGUGUCCAGAUGUGGCCUUCUGCCUGUUUUUGUACAGCUCAUGAGCUAAGAAUGAUUUUUACAUUUUUAUAUGGUUGGGGGGGGCGGAAUUAUCAGUGUCUCCCUUUUGCCCCAGUUCCCCCACUCAAAAAAGGGAUAUGGCUCAGGAAGCAACAGUACUUGUUGGGAACUCAGACUAUGCAGUGUAGGCUGUUAGGAUUUCCUAUCUCUGAAACUUACUGUGAUACUUGGGUAAACUACCUCAACUCUCUGUUUCUCCGUCAGCUAAAGGGAAAUAGCUAAUCUGUAAAAGUUUAUCACAAUGCCUGGAAUAGAGCGAAACUCAAUAGAUAAAGCUGGGAUUAAUACUACCGCAUCUUUAAGAUUUCUAGAAGUAGCCUUCAAGAUAAAAGUAGAAAAUUGAUGACGCAGAGCUGCUCUUCGUUCGGUAUUGUAUUUUAUAGAGUACUGCCUCGAACCUAACACUAAUUUCAGGUCGUGUUAGCUCCUCCUGGCAAAGGUUAAUAUUCGUUCCUGGAUCUGAUAACUUGGGCAAAUCUAGAAACCUUCUAAGCCUCAGUUUCCUCAUUUGUAAAAUAGGAUAGUGGUACCAACUUUACAGUGUUCUUAUGGUGGGAUUAACAGUGCCUAGGACAUAAAAACUCAUUAAAUGUUCUCCCUUUCUGCCAUCCCCAUCUAUUAAAAGCCCCACUCCCCCCAUCAUUCUUUCUUUUU